This is a long non-coding RNA of Planococcus citri (citrus mealybug), 1135 nucleotides long. RefSeq lists it as uncharacterized. The transcript has 2 exons. The record is from RefSeq and is a predicted model, not a curated record. Lineage: Eukaryota; Metazoa; Arthropoda; Insecta; Hemiptera; Pseudococcidae.
UAGGGUGUACGAAGUUGGAAUGAUUAAUUUUUCGCAACAUUUUGUUUUGACUUUGACUGUGAAGUGUGAACUGUUCAUUUGAUUACAAAAUUUUGGAUUUCCGAGUCAUCGGUAUCGAAUUUUUGAAAGAAUUUUUAGCAAACCUCUCUCACUUCACACCAUAAUUCGUGGAUGGGAUAGAAUUAAAUGGAACGGAUUUCAGAGAUUUUUCUUCGAUUAUAUGUACAAUACAGCUUGUAUCACUUCAAAGAAUGAAACGUCUGCAUCAGCAUAUGAAAUUGAUUUAAUUCGAUUCGUCGUAAUAUUAUAAAACACAUCUUCAAUUGGAUUUAUUCCAACAUAUUCCUAAAUCUAUCCACAAUCCUCUUCUCUUAGAACGGAACCAAUUCGUAAAAUAAACGAAUUAUAGCAUUCUGGGAUAUUCGGGAGGCCCAAGUAGUCUUGAAACAAGCACAAAAUAUUUCAUUUCCUGAUAUCCAGCGAACAAAUUAGAACCAAUGAAUGAAAACUAGAAGCAUUUUCAGUACCUCUUUUUCAACACAUCCGCUAUCACGAUGACAUCUUUCUUCAAAGCCAAUUCAUCAGGAACAGUCUUUCAGUUUCAAUCUCUUCUAUCUGCAGUUUAAUCGAGGUACCUCUGGCUCGACUAUGACUCAAACGUUUCAAAAUUACUUUAACGAAUCGAAUCUUAGAAGAUUGCAUAGAAAGUCCAUGCAUAAAUCAGAUCAGCAGGUUUACAUUAUUAUUUUAUGAAUCAUUUAUGAUCAACUAAGAUUACUUUGGUAUUUUUCCCCCCUUGGAUUUUGGAAGGUUUUAAUGGAAUGAUUGCCAUUUCUUCGUGACAAACGUUGAUUAUUAGUUCGAUAGGUUGGUGUCGAUUUUGUGUAAUACUUUCCAGUUAUCAUAACGCAAUAUGCUUUCUUCACAGCUUCCAUUCAUAUCCCUUGAAUCAUAGACGAAAAUAUCAUUGAAAAUGAUGAAUGGUUUAGGAGCAAACUCAAUGAUUGGAAUGUCCAAGCUCUCCUCUUGAUGUACUCACCGAGGAAGGAAUGGUCUGUAAGUUAGGAAUCAUAAGAGUUGCUGAAAUUUUCUAUAAUUUUCAAAAGUUUGAACUUUUCAAACCAAACUUUAAAAA